UACGGAGGGUGCAAGCGUUAUCCGGAUUCACUGGGUUUAAAGGGUGCGUAGGAGGGCAGGUAAGUCAGUGGUGAAAUCCCCAAGCUUAACUUGGGAACUGCCGUUGAUACUAUCUGUCUUGAAUACCGUGGAGGUGAGCGGAAUAUGUCAUGUAGCGGUGAAAUGCUUAGAUAUGACAUAGAACACCAAUUGCGAAGGCAGCUCGCUACACGAAUAUUGACUCUGAGGCACGAAAGCGUGGGGAGCAAACAGG
Molecule: ribosomal RNA, 253 nt
Filed under: uncultured bacterium
Lineage: Bacteria
Description: partial 16S ribosomal RNA
Rfam family: Bacterial small subunit ribosomal RNA
Source: RNAcentral